CUUCAAGCUCGGGGUGGGGGGCUGAACCCCCUUCUAUUUUAGAAAAUUGAGAAUUUAUUAAGAACACUAUUAAACAAAACUUGACUACUUUUUCAUGAAGUAGAAUCAAAAUUACUAAAAUGGCGUCCUUAAUAAAUCGAUACUUUAUCUUGUUUCAAUGUUUAAUACAAUAUAAUCAUGCACUUAUGCGCUGUAUAACAGAAAUUACUGAAACAUUGAGGAAGUCAAUUGAUGAUAAUUUGUAUACUUGUGGAGUUUUCAUAGACUUUGCAAAAGCAUUUGAUACUGUGAAUCACAAUAUACUAUUGAACAAACUGGAAGCUUACGGUAUAAGAGGUCUUCCACUACAAUGGUUUGCAAGUUAUCUUUCUAAUAGGAAACAAUAUGUAGCACUUGGAAAUUUUGAAUCAACGAGACAGACUAUGAUUUGUGGGAUUCCACAAGGGAGUACACUGGGACCAUUGUUGUUUUUAAUUUAUAUAAAUGAUCUUCCAAAUUGCUCCGAUAAUUUAUUAUUUAAAAUUUUUGCCGAUGAUACAAAUAUUUUUGCUACCUCUAGUAACCUAAAAACCCUUGAAGCUUUGAUGAACUCUGAACUUGAUAAGGUUAAAGAAUGGUGCGAUGUUAAUAAGUUAUCAAUUAAUAUAAGUAAAACGAGUUAUAUGAUUAUAAAGCCCGCCAGAAAAAAAGAUUUUUCGACAACGAUACAAAUUAAAAAUAAUGAUGGAACAUACAAAAAAUUGAUCCGGAAAGAUCAUAUUAAGUAUUUGGGUAUAAUGCUAGAUGACACGAUAUCCUGGAGCUAUCAUACACCAUAUAUAUGUUCUCGAAUAUCUCGUGGCAUUGGCAUUUUAUCCAAACUGCGACACUAUCUCUCUGUCAAACAAUUAUCACAAAUUUAUUAUAGUGUUAUCUAUCCAUAUAUAUCAUACGCGG
Molecule: non-coding RNA, 936 nt
Organism: Paramuricea clavata
Lineage: Eukaryota; Metazoa; Cnidaria; Anthozoa; Malacalcyonacea; Plexauridae
Source: the annotation of a GenBank genome assembly